This 460-nucleotide ribosomal RNA is filed under the name uncultured bacterium. Its description in RNAcentral is "partial 16S ribosomal RNA". It matches the Rfam family "Bacterial small subunit ribosomal RNA", at positions 338 to 795 of the family's 1533-position model. The record is from RNAcentral.
CCUACGGGUGGCAGCAGUGAGGAAUAUUGGUCAAUGGACGAGAGUCUGAACCAGCCAAGUAGCGUGAAGGAUGACUGCCCUAUGGGUUGUAAACUUCUUUUAUAUGGGAAUAAAAUGUUCCACGUGUGGGAUUUUGUAUGUACCAUAUGAAUAAGGAUCGGCUAACUCCGUGCCAGCAGCCGCGGUAAUACGGAGGAUCCGAGCGUUAUCCGGAUUUAUUGGGUUUAAAGGGAGCGUAGGUGGAUUGUUAAGUCAGUUGUGAAAGUUUGCGGCUCAACCGUAAAAUUGCAGUUGAAACUGGCAGUCUUGAGUACAGUAGAGGUGGGCGGAAUUCGUGGUGUAGCGGUGAAAUGCUUAGAUAUCACGAAGAACUCAGAUUGCGAAGGCAGUUCACUGGACUGCAACUGACACUGAGGCUCGAAAGUGUGGGUAUCAAACAGGAUUAGAUACCCGUGUAGUC